This 559-nucleotide ribosomal RNA is filed under the name uncultured bacterium. Its description in RNAcentral is "bacterial SSU rRNA". It matches the Rfam family "Bacterial small subunit ribosomal RNA", at positions 912 to 1475 of the family's 1533-position model. The record is from RNAcentral.
GACGGGGACCCGCACAAGCGGUGGAUGAUGUGGAUUAAUUCGAUGCAACGCGAACAACCUUACCUACCCUUGACAUGUCUGGAACCCUGCUGAGAGGUGGGGGUGCCCGAAAGGGAAUCGGAACACAGGUGCUGCAUGGCUGUCGUCAGCUCGUGUCGUGAGAUGUUGGGUUAAGUCCCGCAACGAGCGCAACCCUUGUCCCUAGUUGCUACGCAAGGGCACUCUAGGGAGACUGCCGGUGACAAACCGGAGGAAGGUGGGGAUGACGUCAAGUCCUCAUGGCCCUUAUGGGUAGGGCUUCACACGUCAUACAAUGGCCGGUACAGAGGGUUGCCAACCCGCGAGGGGGAGCCAAUCCCAGAAAGCCGGUCGUAGUCCGGAUUGCAGUCUGCAACUCGACUGCAUGAAGUCGGAAUCGCUAGUAAUCGCGGAUCAGCAUGUCGCGGUGAAUACGUUCCCGGGUCUUGUACACACCGCCCGUCACACCAUGGGAGUGGGGUGCACCAGAAGUAGGUAGGCUAACCGCGAGGGGGCCGCUUACCACGGUUUGCUUCAUGAC